GGCUGGUCCAAUGGUAGUGGGUUAUCAGAACUUAUUAACAUUAGUUUCACUAAAGCUGGUAUACAAUCCCCACUGCUAAAUUUGACUGGCUUUAA
This 95-nucleotide Y RNA is filed under the name Microcebus murinus (gray mouse lemur). Its description in RNAcentral is "Y RNA (ENSMICG00000043852.1)". It matches the Rfam family "Y RNA". From Rfam's summary of the family: Y RNAs are components of the Ro ribonucleoprotein particle (Ro RNP), in association with Ro60 and La proteins. The Y RNAs and Ro60 and La proteins are well conserved, but the function of the Ro RNP is not known. The record is from Rfam by way of RNAcentral. Lineage: Eukaryota; Metazoa; Chordata; Mammalia; Primates; Cheirogaleidae.